GCUACAAUGGACGGUACAAAGAGCUGCAAGACCGCGAGGUGGAGCUAAUCUCAUAAAACCGUUCUCAGUUCGGAUUGUAGGCUGCAACUCGCCUACAUGAAGCUGGAAUCGCUAGUAAUCGCGGAUCAGCAUGCCGCGGUGAAUACGUUCCCGGGCCUUGUACACACCGCCCGUCACACCACGAGAGUUUGUAACACCCGAAGUCGGUGGGGUAACCUUUAUGGAGCCAGCCGCCUAAGGUGGGACAGAUGAUUGGGGUGAAGUCGUAACAAGGUCGCCGUAUCGGAAGGUGCGGCUGGAUCACCUCCUUUCUAUGGAGA
RNAcentral lists this ribosomal RNA (320 nucleotides) under Serratia marcescens. RNAcentral describes it as "partial 16S ribosomal RNA". It matches the Rfam family "Bacterial small subunit ribosomal RNA", at positions 1224 to 1533 of the family's 1533-position model. Lineage: Bacteria; Pseudomonadati; Pseudomonadota; Gammaproteobacteria; Enterobacterales; Yersiniaceae. The record is from RNAcentral.